UCCCACCAGGCUCCUCUGGUGGAUAGUAAAUGUGUAUUUUUGAUGUGAUAUGAAAGUACAGUUCUUUAUAUUUCUAGAACCAUACUGCACUUGAGAAUCGAUUCAUGUUUAGAUGGAGUAUUUGGCUGUUUUGGCUGCCAGAGCCAGUUCACCUCUAAACAGAGCAUGUCAGGUCCUUAUAAGGAUUCAUGUUAGGCUCCUUUAGUCCAUUCUUGGGCUAAUAGCUAGCUAGCUAUUUGUCUUCUGUAGCGUUAUUGCUAAUAAUAUAUAUAUAGCUACGGUAGCGUUGUUGAACAGUUAUACUGUAUAUAUCUCUACUUACUGAGAUCUAUUACCAGUCACACAGAUGUAUAAGGUCUGUACACAUUCAUUCCUAGGUGGCUUCAGGUACAGUGCAUGUUUGAGAUUUACACGAGGGUCCAAGAUGGAACAUCCAAGGUAAGUACUGUCAUUGAAAGUUCACAUUGGCGUGGACUCACGAUGAUUCACGAAACUGUUAAGUUGAUCAAAAAGUUAGCUUUCCACUAUCUUGUAGGGUUUGUCUUUCCUGGACGUGCGAUAGCUGUUUUACCUACGAUGUCACUCACCUGAUCAGUCUCAAAUGAGAGUAGGGAAGUGUUAAAGACAACGGCGCUCUUCACAGACUGGCCACCGUUAGAACGGUAAGAUGCCCUCAUUUCCAAAAAUGCGAUUCAAAAAUCGAAAGAGAGACGCUGUUUCUCAUUUUGUAAUGUAUUGCCGUUGCAUUUCGGUGCAUCUUGGGACCGUACAAAAGUUCAGUAAAGAACAGUAAGAUGCCCUCCUUUCCACUUCUAAUCUCCUGGCAUCUCAAUCGGUGUAUAAUGAAUACAAUUGUUCAUUUUGUUUCAUUGCUCCUUAUCACUUCUGAACGUCUUCACCUUAAAAUGUUAUAUUUCAUUCCAAAGCUAAAUUAAUCAGAAGACCGAGGGUGAAAAUGGAAAAAGGCUAAAGGCGCUAAGAAAAGUGCCAUCUAGUGGCAAGAAACAUGUUCCCCCAAGAUUGCUUCAAUACACUAUGAGAGAGACAUGAACGAUGCAGAGAAAUACAAAGCAGAGACGUCCUUAGCUGUGUGACCUAAAAGCCCUGGCAGCCGUGCAGCGACGCUCCCACAGCCACCACAGGGACUUCAGGACAGAGUCGAGAGCAGGAAAAACUUUGAAGAGUCAGUGAUUCGUCUGCAAGUGCCCCAAACGAGAGAAACACUUAAAAUGAGGAGUGCAUGCUAGGAAUGUCUGGUCAGCUAAGUGACAUCCCACAGUUCAGUGACAUCACAGCCCUGAAGGGUGGAGGGGGACCGGUGAGUUGGCUACAUUUCAGUGACAUCACAGCCCUGAAGGGUGGAGGGGGACCGGUGAGUUGGCUACAGUUCAGUGACAUCACAGCCCUGAAGGGCGGAGGGGGACCGGUGAGUUGGACACAUUUCAGUGACAUCACAGCCCUGAAGGGUGGAGGGGGACCGGUGAGUUGGACACAUUUCAGUGACAUCACAGCCCUGAAGGGUGGAGGGUGUCUGGUGAGUUGGACACAUUUCAGUGACAUCACAGCCCUGAAGGGUGGAGGGGGACCGGUGAGUUGGAUACAGUUCAGUGACAUCACAGCCCUGAAGGGUGGAGGGUGUCUGGUGAGUUGGACACAUUUCAGUGACAUCACAGUCCUGAAGGGUGGAGGGUGUCUGGUGAGUUGGACACAUUUCAGUGACAUCACAGCCCUGAAGGGUGGAGGGGGACCGGUGAGUUGGAUACAGUUCAGUGACAUCACAGUCCUGAAGGGUGGAGGGUGUCUGGUGAGUUGGACACAUUUCAGUGACAUCACAGCCCUGAAGGGUGGAGGGUGUCUGGUGAGUUGGACACAUUUCAGUGACAUGCCACUCCUUACUGCCAUGCAGUGAACGAUAAGUGUACAAAACAUUAAGAACAACAAGUUGCACCCCGCUGUUUCCCCCCCCCCUCAGAACAGCCUCAACUCGUCAGGGAAUGGACUCUACAAGGUGUCUAAAGAGUUCCACAGGGAUACUGGACCGUGUUGACUCCAAUGCUUCACCAAGUUGUGUUAUGUUGGCUGGAUGUCCAUUGGGUGGUGGAGCAUUCUUGAUAUACACGGGAAACUGUUGAGCGUGGAAGAGCCAUCAGUGUUGCAGUUCUUGACACACUCAAUAAUCGGAGGAGCGCCUGGCACCUACCAUGACCCGUUCAUAGGCAAUUAAAUAUUUUGUCUUGCCCAUUUCACCCUCUGAAUGUCACACAAUCCAUGUCUCCAGGCUUAUCAAUCCGUCUUUAACCCAGUCUCCUCCCCUUCAUCUACUCUGAUUGAAGUGGAUUGAACAAGUGACAUAAGGGAUCAUAGCUUUCACCGGGUCAGUCGGUCAUGGAAUGAGCAGGCAUUAAAAUGUUUGUACAA
Molecule: long non-coding RNA, 2418 nt
Organism: Oncorhynchus mykiss (rainbow trout)
Lineage: Eukaryota; Metazoa; Chordata; Actinopteri; Salmoniformes; Salmonidae
Source: RefSeq, a predicted model, not a curated record